AGUGGCGCGUGAGUGUGACAUGUGCAGCUGAUGCAGAAUAGCAGGCCUGACACGCUGCCUGUGUCUCCUUCAGAGGAGGGAAAUAAGCAUCCUCACAUGAGCUGCAGGAGGAACGGCCCGACCGGAGAGCUGCAGGGAGGAUUUCCUACAGCAGAAGUCGAUUUUGACAUCCUUAACAUGGCAUGAAAACAUUCAAAUCACCACAGAUCAUUUAUAGAACUCUGUCACCGAGAGACCAAAACCCUCUGCAGGAGUCUGACAGGACUGAACCCCUCAGAUGCUGUUUUACACUCAGUCACUUUAGUUUUAGACUGACCUAAACUUGAAUGUGUAACUUCUCCCCGAACAACAUUCACCGUGACAAAAAAACAAAACAAUCAAAGUUUGUUUCUCCUCGUUUCUUUUCAUUCUCACACUUUCACAACUACUUUCUAACGCCAGAGUAACCUUUCAAAUGUGUUUUCAAAGAUGAUGAUGAUGUGUUACAUGUGCAGAAAUGAUCCAACAACUCCAAUUCACUUCAACAGAACUCUAUGAAAUAAUUGUUCUUGCUGCAGAGUCAUGUCACGUAUAAGUCUCAUGUUUGGAUGAAUUUAUUUAAAUGUGUAAUAAUGUAAAAAGAUAUAUUUAUUUUUUUUCAAACUAAAAUCUGAAACUACUAAAAUGAGUGAUGAGUGAUGCAUAACCUUCAGAAUGAACCUUUGAUCUGAAAUA
This is a long non-coding RNA of Larimichthys crocea (large yellow croaker), 714 nucleotides long. RefSeq lists it as uncharacterized. Lineage: Eukaryota; Metazoa; Chordata; Actinopteri; Sciaenidae. The record is from RefSeq and is a predicted model, not a curated record. The transcript has 3 exons.